GACGAACGCUGGCGGCGUGCCUAAUACAUGCAAGUCGAACGAAACUUUCUUACACCGAAUGCUUGCAUUCACCGUAAGAAGUUGAGUGGCGGACGGGUGAGUAACACGUGGGUAACCUGCCUAAAAGAAGGGGAUAACACUUGGAAACAGGUGCUAAUACCGUAUAUCUCUAAGGAUCGCAUGAUUCUUAGAUGAAAGAUGGUUCUGCUAUCGCUUUUAGAUGGACCCGCGGCGUAUUAACUAGUUGGUGGGGUAACGGCCUACCAAGGUGAUGAUACGUAGCCGAACUGAGAGGUUGAUCGGCCACAUUGGGACUGAGACACGGCCCAAACUCCUACGGGAGGCAGCAGUAGGGAAUCUUCCACAAUGAACGCAAGUCUGAUGGAGCAACGCCGCGUGAGUGAAGGAGGUCUUCGGAUCGUAAAACUCUGUUGUUAGAGAAGAACACGAGUGAGAGUAACUGUUCAUUUGAUGACGGUAUCUAACCAGCAAGUCACGGCUAACUACGUGCCAGCAGCCGCGGUAAUACGUAGGUGGCAAGCGUUGUCCGGAUUUAUUGGGCGUAAAGGGAACGCAGGCGGUCUUUUAAGUCUGAUGUGAAAGCCUUCGGCUUAACCGGAGUAGUGCAUUGGAAACUGGAAGACUUGAGUGCAGAAGAGGAGAGUGGAACUCCAUGUGUAGCGGUGAAAUGCGUAGAUAUAUGGAAGAACACCAGUGGCGAAAGCGGCUCUCUGGUCUG
RNAcentral lists this ribosomal RNA (739 nucleotides) under uncultured Bacilli bacterium. RNAcentral's name for it is "bacterial SSU rRNA". It matches the Rfam family "Bacterial small subunit ribosomal RNA", at positions 28 to 736 of the family's 1533-position model. The record is from RNAcentral. Lineage: Bacteria; Bacillati; Bacillota; Bacilli.